RNAcentral lists this ribosomal RNA (481 nucleotides) under uncultured bacterium. RNAcentral describes it as "partial 16S ribosomal RNA". It matches the Rfam family "Bacterial small subunit ribosomal RNA", at positions 28 to 507 of the family's 1533-position model. The record is from RNAcentral.
GAUGAACGCUGGCGGCGUGCUUAACACAUGCAAGUCGAACGAAGCAUUUAAGACAGAUUACUUCGGUUUGAGGUCUUUUAUGACUGAGUGGCGGACGGGUGAGUAACGCGUGGGUAACCUGCCUCAUACAGGGGGAUAGCAGCUGGAAACGGCUGGUAAUACCGCAUAAGCGCACAGUACCACAUGGUACAGUGUGAAAAACUCCGGUGGUAUGAGAUGGACCCGCGUCUGAUUAGCUUGUUGGCGGGGUAACGGCCCACCAAGGCGACGAUCAGUAGCCGACCUGAGAGGGUGCCCGGCCACAUUGGGACUGAGACACGGCCCAGACUCCUAAGGGAGGCGGCAGUGGGGAAUAUUGCACAAGGGAGGAAACUCUGAUGCAGCGACGCCGCGUGAGUGAAGAAGUAGUUCGCUAUGUAAAGCUCUAUCAGCAGGGAAGAUAGUGACGGUACCUGACUAAGAAGCACCGGCUAAAUACGUG